CAAGUACUCCCUCCGUCCGGAAUUACUUGUCAUCAAAAGGAUGUGUCUAGAACUAAAAUACAUCUAGAUACAUCCAUUUCAAUGACAAGUAUUUUCGGACGGAGGGAGUACAAG
Triticum aestivum (bread wheat) is the source of this 114-nucleotide non-coding RNA. The record is from Rfam. Lineage: Eukaryota; Viridiplantae; Streptophyta; Magnoliopsida; Poales; Poaceae.